CCAAACUGGGAUUAGAUACCCCACUAUGCUUAGCCCUAAACCUAGAUAGUUAGCUCAAACAAAACUAUCCGCCAGAGAACUACUAGCAACAGCUUAAAACUCAAAGGACUUGGCGGUGCUUUAUAUCCCUCUAGAGGAGCCUGUUCUAUAAUCGAUAAACCCCGAUAAACCUCACCAUCUCUUGCUAAUUCAGCCUAUAUACCGCCAUCUUCAGCA
Molecule: ribosomal RNA, 216 nt
Filed under: Panthera onca (jaguar)
Lineage: Eukaryota; Metazoa; Chordata; Mammalia; Carnivora; Felidae
Description: partial 12S ribosomal RNA
Rfam family: Bacterial small subunit ribosomal RNA
Source: RNAcentral